RNAcentral lists this ribosomal RNA (497 nucleotides) under uncultured bacterium. Its description in RNAcentral is "partial 16S ribosomal RNA". It matches the Rfam family "Bacterial small subunit ribosomal RNA", at positions 28 to 507 of the family's 1533-position model. The record is from RNAcentral.
GAUGAACGCUGGCGGCGUGCCUAAUACAUGCAAGUCGAGCGAACGGACGAGAAGCUUGCUUUUCUGAUGUUAGCGGCGGACGGGUGAGUAACACGUGGAUAACCUACCUAUAAGACUGGGAUCACUUCGGGAAACCGGAGCUAAUACCGGAUAAUAUUUUGAACCGCAUGGUUCAAAAGUGAAAGACGGUCUUGCUGUCACUUAUCGAUGGAUCCGCGCUGCAUUAGCUAGUUGGUAAGGUAACGGCUUACCAAGGCAACGAUGCAUAGCCGACCUGAGAGGGUGAUCGGCCACACUGGAACGGGAACACGGUCCAGACGCCUACGGGAGGCAGCAGUAGGGAAUCUUCCGCAAUGGGCGAAAGCCUGACGGAGCAACGCCGCGUGAGUGAUGAAGGUCUUCGGAUCGUAAAACUCUGUUAUUAGGGAAGAACAUAUGUGUAAGUAACUGUGCACAUCUUGACGGUACCUAAUCAGAAAGCCACGGCUAACUACGUG